GACCAUCGACCCUCUGCUCCCGCCGCCUCUGUGCGUGGCGCCACCGCUGUUUUCUCUUCCAUUGGUGAGUCUAACCUCCGCCCAGUACACAAAUCACGGUCCUCAUCUUGAUCUCUGUUGCUAAUUCAUCUGUGUUGUACUUUGUUUCUGUUGCGGCGUUGGUUCCUCUUGUGUCGAUGGUCUGAGGAAAGGGGCGGGGCAGUGGAGCUCACCUGGAGGCUGCGGCUGGGGCAAAAGGGGCACGCGGCGGAGCUCAGUGGUGGGGUGGGCGGCGGAGUUCGGAUGGAGGGCACAACUGCUCUACUCGUGGUGGCCGCCGAUGCCUUCUGCUGCAGGUCUAUGUGGUGCCGUGGUGGCCAGGGGACAGCCGUAUGGCAGCGAUGCAGCAGUGGAGCAGCACUCACAACGCUGCUGUGCAAUGGCAACACUCCUAGCAGCAGCCCGACAACAUUGCUGCAGGCAUGUUCAGUAGUAGGCAACCAAGGACGGAAGGGCCUAGGCAACUACAACAAGCAAGGAUUGUUAAUGUGCAAUUCAACAAACUGAAGAUUAAAGAAUUGUUGUAACAUGGACAAAGAUGGAGACAUCGCAUCUGUUUUUUUUUCAGAAAAUAUGUGAUAAAGAGGACGGCUUUGCCUUCCCUGGUAGUGGUUUUGAAGGAAGAACAAACUGAACAUCCAUGUAUGCUGAGGUAACCGAUGACAUGGGCAUAAAUUUUGAGUUCAGAUUGGUAAUACUUCAGUUAGCACAAGACACAUAUAGUUCGUAUCCAACUUGCACUUUUUCCAACUCAAGAUCAAUGUUUAAUGGAACAGGGUAUCAUUGUUCCAAGGAUGGUUGCACAGGUAUAACUAUAUUGAUCUUUAGGCACAUUUUAGAUUCUCUAAUAACUAAAAGUGUUAUCAGUAUUAGGCUGAAUGUGUAAUGUAAUGAUAAUUCUAUAUAUCAUAUAUAUUUAUAUACUACUGAUGAAUAAGAUGAGACAAUAAUAGUAGUACCUCGUGAUGAAUGUAUAUCUUAUAUACUUAGUACCUAUGUCAUAACUAGGAAUUCUUUACCUUUAACUCAUCGUCUACUCUACUGGUUCCCUUUCCAGAUUUGUAAAGUAGUAUCUCUAUACACAUUAUUUCUCAUUUCUUUACAUACUUCAGAAAUCAAUAAAAUUGUGUUUUGGAACGAAAUAAGUGCUAUGGCAUCGGUUUGCCUAGAGGAAGAAACAUGUAGUGUUGGUGCCAUUGGUUGUCAGUGACAUUGUUUAUUCUAUUGAAAAAAGAAUAUGGUCCUAAUCAAGCACAACAUAUAUAAAGGUCAAGUACAUGUUUGCUAUUUUCACAGCCAAAUUUUUUACAUAAUUCAUGGUUCAUCUCUUACCCUAAUGUACGCCUCUUUCUUAAAACUAAAUAUUUUCAUACCAUAUUCUCAUUUGUUUAAAUUGAAUGUGCAUGUGUACAACCCAAAUGGAAGCACAUGGGAGCUCAUCAGACUAAGUGACUAACGAUAGGAUCUCUUGGCUAUGGUAAUGGCUGAAGCAUUUGGGGUACUUCUGUAUAAAUAGGAUCUGGUCAUGAAUUAAGAUAUUUGCAGCCUCCCAAACAGAGAUGUCAGGGUCGACAGUAUGCUACGUGUAAUCUCCAAUUUGCCUUGCUAACGCAUAUGCAGUUAUAUAAGAUUUUGUUGUGUGCAGCAAAGCCACUUUUGAUCUCUCCUUGAAGGCAGCUGGGUAUUUGGACUAUGCAAUUCAUCUUGCAUG
Long non-coding RNA from Panicum virgatum (switchgrass), 1750 nucleotides. RefSeq lists it as uncharacterized. The record is from RefSeq and is a predicted model, not a curated record. NCBI's taxonomy places the organism in Eukaryota, Viridiplantae, Streptophyta, Magnoliopsida, Poales, Poaceae. The transcript is spliced from 5 exons.